This 468-nucleotide ribosomal RNA is filed under the name uncultured soil bacterium. RNAcentral describes it as "bacterial SSU rRNA". It matches the Rfam family "Bacterial small subunit ribosomal RNA", at positions 26 to 518 of the family's 1533-position model. The record is from RNAcentral.
AGAGCGAACGCUGGCGGCAGGCCUAACACAUGCAAGUCGAGCGCCCCGCAAGGGGAGCGGCAGACGGGAGAGUAACACGUGGGAACGUACCCUUCAGUUCGGGACAACCCAGGGAAACUUGGGCUAAUACUGGAUACGUCCGUAAGGAGAAAGAUUUAUCGCUGAAGGAUCGGCCCGCGUCUGAUUAGCUAGUUGGUGAGGUAACGGCCCACAAGGCGACGAUCCGUAGCUGGUCUGAGAGGAUGAUCAGCCACACUGGAACUGAGACACGGCCAGACCCCUACGGGAGCAGCAGUAGGGAAUAUGGACAAUGGGCGCAAGCCUGAUCCAGCCAUGCCGCGUGUGUGAAGAAGGCCUUCGGGUUGUAAAGCACGUUUUGACCGGAAAGAAAAGCGCUGGUUAACACCGUGGUGUCCUGAACGGUACCGGAAGAAGUAAGCGACCGGCUAACUUCGUGCCAGCAGCCGU